Molecule: non-coding RNA, 210 nt
Organism: Vicia faba (fava bean)
Lineage: Eukaryota; Viridiplantae; Streptophyta; Magnoliopsida; Fabales; Fabaceae
Source: the annotation of a GenBank genome assembly
UCAUGUUUCUUUGGGCGUUGCUGGUGCUGCUGUUGCAUACGCUCUCAACGCACUUGCUUCCCAAGUUUCCGCCUUGAAGGCCUUCUGAAAGUGGUUGCAACUUGCAAGACUUGCAUGAGCUUCAAGUUUUUCACGUGGAUGCGAGGGACGAAACUGGAGGUCAUGUUUCUCAGGGUGUAUCAUCCUUGAUGCUGUGACACAAGAACCCAU